Molecule: long non-coding RNA, 526 nt
Filed under: Triticum aestivum (bread wheat)
Lineage: Eukaryota; Viridiplantae; Streptophyta; Magnoliopsida; Poales; Poaceae
Description: long non-coding RNA (TAES_LNC017640)
Source: RNAcentral
CCAAAUACAAAUGGUCUCAGGAAAAAGGCAAAUAUGCAAUAAUUUUGUGUUGGUUCAAAUUAGGUAAAGUGGGUAACUACUAAACCAGAGGAUGUUGCAUGCCAUUUUUGUUCAUCGGCCUGGCAUGAUUUGGAUUGUUGUAGAGGUAGGUUUCAUCACCUCAUGUAAUAUAUAAUUUCAGCUUCAUUUGCGUGCACCAUUAGCAUGAUAAAAUUUUCAAAUUUCUCAUUUUCUUGGUCGUAGGUCGGCGUGAAUGAAGAGCUAGCUUGGGAAGACGCAGUCGAUUAUUAUUGCCUAUUUCUCUAUUGAAAGGUGUUGCUUCUUUCAUCUUGACAGGUACAUGUGUGUAUUAUGGAUACUUUUAUUGUGAUGUUUCUUCUUUGUCACAGAGACUUUGACAUUGUUAUACAUAUUAGUCUUUUCUCAUUUCACUUCACUUUACUAUUUAAUUUUUUGUUGAAAGAAGAGUGAGUUCAGCCAUGAACAUGCUUGGUUAUAUAAUUAUAUGCUUGCACCUCAACGACAG